GAUGAACGCUGGCGGCGUGCCUAAUACAUGCAAGUCGAGCGAACCACUUCGGUGGUGAGCGGCGAACGGGUGAGUAACACGUAGGUUAUCUGCCCAUCAGACGGGGACAACGAUUGGAGACGAUCGCUAAUACCGGAUAGGACGAAAGUUUAAAGGUGCUUCUGGCACCGCUGAUGGAUGAGCCUGCGGCGCAUUAGCUAGUUGGUAGGGUAAAGGCCUACCAAGGCGACGAUGCGUAGCCGACCUGAGAGGGUGAACGGCCACACUGGGACUGAGACACGGCCCAGACUCCUACGGAGGGCAGCAGUAGGGAAUCUUCGGCAAUGGGCGAAAGACUGACCGAGCAACGCCGCGUGAAUGAUGAAGGCCUUCGGGUUGUAAAAUUCUGUUAUAAGGGAAGAACGACUUUAGUAGGAAAUGGCUAAAGUGUGACGGUACCUUAUGAGAAAGCCACGGCUAACUACGUGCCAGCCGCCGCCGUAA
RNAcentral lists this ribosomal RNA (483 nucleotides) under uncultured bacterium. Its description in RNAcentral is "partial 16S ribosomal RNA". It matches the Rfam family "Bacterial small subunit ribosomal RNA", at positions 28 to 523 of the family's 1533-position model. The record is from RNAcentral.